RNAcentral lists this ribosomal RNA (89 nucleotides) under Bacillus sp. CPSM8. Its description in RNAcentral is "partial 16S ribosomal RNA". The stretch from base 1 to 70 matches the Rfam family "Bacterial small subunit ribosomal RNA", at positions 1464 to 1533 of the family's 1533-position model. The record is from RNAcentral. Lineage: Bacteria; Bacillati; Bacillota; Bacilli; Caryophanales; Bacillaceae.
GGGACAGAUGAUUGGGGUGAAGUCGUAACAAGGUAGCCGUAUCGGAAGGUGCGGCUGGAUCACCUCCUUUCUAAGGAUAUUAUACGGAA